UACGUAGGGUCCGAGCGUUGUCCGGAAUUACUGGAGCGUAAAGAGCUCGUAGGUGGUUUGUCGCGUUGUUCGUGAAAACUCACAGCUUAACUGUGGGCGUGCGGGCGAUACGGGCAGACUUGAGUACUGCAGGGGAGACUGGAAUUCCUGGUGUAGCGGUGAAAUGCGCAGAUAUCAGGAGGAACACCGGUGGCGAAGGCGGGUCUCUGGGCCGAUACUGACGCUGAGGAGCGAAAGCGUGGGGAGCGAACAGG
This 254-nucleotide ribosomal RNA is filed under the name uncultured bacterium. RNAcentral's name for it is "partial 16S ribosomal RNA". It matches the Rfam family "Bacterial small subunit ribosomal RNA", at positions 524 to 776 of the family's 1533-position model. The record is from RNAcentral.